UAUGCAAGUUAAUAUCUAUAAGUGAUAUGCCUAUAUGGUAUGAGUAUGUGUGAAAGUUAUGGAAAGACAUUUGUUUGUAAAAUGUAUUAUGUGACACUGUACAAGCAUGUGCAGAAGUUUGUUUGUACAAUAAAUAUUACUAUGAAUGUUAAUGUGGGUACUUCAGAAGAAUGAGUAGGUGUAGGUGUGUGUGUGUGUCUUUGUCAAUAUAUAGGUACUUCAACACUUUUACACUACAUUUGUGUACAUUGAGUACAAACUUUGGCAGGCAAAGGUCACGACUUGAUACUUAUCUGGGUCAAAUCAAUAACAAAUUUAAUUAAGAUUGAAAGUGCAACUAUGACAAAUUUAUUUACACUCCAACUUACGUUUUCGCAUUAUUAUUACAAGCUUUCAAAACCACAUAUAAAUUCAUAAUCAAAAUUCCCGAAACACUUCAAAAAAUAUUGUCCCAACACGAGAAUCAGAAAAGUCGUGCGAGGUCACUGACCGCAAUUCGCGGUGAUUAGACAAUAAAAGAACCCCAAAAGUCAUUCCGGAUGAAUUAUCAAUUUCCAUAAAAAAAUAUUGUGUAGAUAUUUUUUAUGAAUUCAUCCGAAAAUAAUUUUUGUGAAGUAGCAAAGACUAUUUGUAACAACUAUAAUUACAGUUUAAUGUGUUGAGAUAAUUAAACCAAUGUAUUUUAUUGGUUAAUUUUACUGAAUAUUAUCCCAGGGUAUUCAGUAGUAAUUUAACUGGGAAACUUGAUGACACGCUGUAACAGCAAUAUGUGCAAAAGAGAAUCAAUCAGUGUUAAAAAAAAUUGACAUAUCUCUACGAAUGAUAGCAAAACCGUCAUCUCGAAUGACUGCUUAACAUAAGGUUCCUGACAUGAAGGACAUGUACAACCAAAUGCAACGGAUUUCAACAUUUAUACAACUUUCACCGAAACCUGAAACAGUUGUGCCAUCAUAACAUAGAAAGACAUAUUAAAAUACUGUGAACUUGAAAAACUCGACCAAAACGAAAUAUUAACAAAACAAGUAAAUAAAUUUGAUCCAUGACAGCUUAUUUGAUACUCGACUGAAGUCAACCCAUUAUAGUAAGAACAUUUAAGAUCAGAGGAAAUGUACUUGUGAUUGAUUCACAAAUGUCAUGAUUGAAAAUAAUUGAACGGCAUCACUUUAUAUGUAUUUGUUUUAGUCUGUUGUAGUUUACUGCUACCUUGCAUUGAAAUAAUCAUAAUAAAAACAUAAUGCAAUAAGAUGACUAAAAAGAACUAUCAAUAUGCUCUGAAUACUGUUUGUGUGUGUAUCGAAUCGUAUCGCAUUCAGCUAAAAAUGUCAAAAUAAAAUGAUUCAAUAGUAG
RNAcentral lists this long non-coding RNA (1347 nucleotides) under Mytilus galloprovincialis (Mediterranean mussel). The record is from RNAcentral. Lineage: Eukaryota; Metazoa; Mollusca; Bivalvia; Mytilida; Mytilidae.